RNAcentral lists this long non-coding RNA (582 nucleotides) under Ananas comosus (pineapple). RNAcentral describes it as "long non-coding RNA (ACOM_LNC043227)". Lineage: Eukaryota; Viridiplantae; Streptophyta; Magnoliopsida; Poales; Bromeliaceae. The record is from RNAcentral.
UUUGCUCUUCAAAUUGAUUCUUCUCUUCAAACCUUCCGCGAUCAACUCUUCAAGACUCCAUUCAACUUUACGAAAUCCGCCAACCUAGAAAAUCCUUAACAAUCUCCCUCUUUGGCGAUUUUGUGACAAAACAUAAUACAACACUCAAAUACAACUCAGAAACAAUAAAAAGAAGAUCAUCGCAAUCACCAAAUGACAAUCUCCUGCAUGAUCGAUCCAAUAAAAGAAAAAAUUACAUUUUCCUCACAAUCUUAAUACAAACUCUAUGACUUAGACAUGGAGUUUUGAAGUCUUGAAAGUUCCUGCAAAAAACAUUCUCAAAACACAGUCAAGAUCCAAGAGUUUUCAUUAAAGAUCAAAUAUAAACAGUCAUAUAGUCAAGAGUUACGUUAGAAAAACCAUCAACACCUAAAUAAGCAUCAACAUCAUCAUCUAAAUACAUCACCAUCAUCAUCUAAAUACAUCAUCUGAAAGAAAACAACAUCUAACAUCUAAAAAGCAUCUAAAAAACAGCAUCAUCAUCAUCAUCUCCCCCUUUUUGUCAAGAAAACGCCAAAACGACAAAAAGAGGAACCCCGCACC